CGCCGCCGCCACCACAGGCCCCGCUGCCGCUGCCGCUGCCACCGCCGCCGCCGCCGUCGUCUCCCCAACCUUCUCCUCCAUUCUCGCACAGGCCCUCGCUCCCCCUCACCUGCCGCGAUCGAUCCGGGCAAGCAAGCUCGCUCCGCAGUUGGACGGACCACUGGAUCUUGGCAGCUACGCGACGACCUCCUGGCACAUCGCCGGCCCGUCGUUUGCUCCCGUCUCCGUGACCUCGCUCUCCCGACCGAUCUCGAUCUGCUGCUGGUCGUGCAGUGCGUGGGCGUGGCAAUGGCUUGGCACGGGAGAAGAGGCGGAUGGAGAGGAGAGCUGCGGCUGCGGCGCUCGCUGCUGCUUGUUAUUUUUAGCGCCACCCCACCACUGCCCGCUUCUUU
This 392-nucleotide long non-coding RNA is filed under the name Oryza brachyantha (malo sina). RNAcentral describes it as "long non-coding RNA (OBRA_LNC001149)". The record is from RNAcentral. Lineage: Eukaryota; Viridiplantae; Streptophyta; Magnoliopsida; Poales; Poaceae.